AUGGAUCGCCGCCGCCAGCACCACGCCGGAGAAUUCGUGACGGACGUGGUGCUGUGGCGGCGAGGCCGGGCGGAGCUGAGCGCGCUGCUGCUGGCGGCCGCCGUCGCCUCCUGGAUCCUCUUCCACGGAGCCUCGGGUUACACGGCCGUCUCGCUGGCCGCCGACGUGCUCCUCCUGCUGCUGGCGGUGCUGUACGCGUGGUCCAGGGCCGCGCGCCUCCUCGGCCGCCCCGCCCCGCCCAUCCCCGACCUGCAGCCGGCGGCCGACGAGCUCGCCGCGCUGAUUCAUUCGUGCCUCGCCGACCUCGCCUCCGCCUUCCGCCGCGUCGCGCAGGGCCAGCCCGGCUCCGGCCAGGUGUUCCUCUGCCUCGCCGCCGCCGCCCUGCUGGGCCGCCUCGCGCGCGACCUCCCCACCCUGUGCUACGCAGUUGUGGUGGGCGCUCUGACGAUCCCGGCGGUGUACGAGAGAUUGAGCAUGGAGCGAUACAUGAGGAUGGCAUCUCUCAACAUGUACAGAUACGAGGUCUUGUACCAGAGCCUCUCCCUCACCUGCUACCUCAGCACCAGGGACUACCUCAUCGAGCUGCUCAAGGAAGCAUGA
Molecule: ribosomal RNA, 600 nt
Filed under: Triticum aestivum (bread wheat)
Lineage: Eukaryota; Viridiplantae; Streptophyta; Magnoliopsida; Poales; Poaceae
Description: partial small subunit ribosomal RNA
Source: RNAcentral